RNAcentral lists this unclassified non-coding RNA (1474 nucleotides) under Hevea brasiliensis (rubber tree). Lineage: Eukaryota; Viridiplantae; Streptophyta; Magnoliopsida; Malpighiales; Euphorbiaceae. The record is from RNAcentral.
GACCCUGGUAGCAUGUUGUGGCCUGCACAAAGAAUUCAAAAUGGAAAAGUUGUUGAGGCAAACAAUACAAUUAAAAUACAGUACAAUAUGUAAACACUACAUGUUUAGGCAAGGGAAAUAAGUAAAAUGCAUUAUUAGAUUUUGAUGAGAACUAGAGAAAUGCGAUUUUUUUUUUUUUCAAAUAGUGCUUAUCAAACAAUUAGAAUUCCCACAUUAAAAAUUUCUAAGUUGACAGAUUAUGAGAGAGCUAAGUGGCAAUGUGAAGUAUUUUUUACAGAUAGUUUGGAGUUGGAAGCCUAGAACAAUAAUUUGAUGAUUUACAAUUGCCAAACUGGAAACUUAUCCCAUAUCCAGAUUGAAGCACAGCUAAAGGCGGGCUCAGCCAACCCAGUAUAAAUCCCAGUUAAAAUAUUUUAAGUUUAUCCUAAUGAGUUGGUACAAUUCACUACAGAAUUAUGAUACUAAUACUACCGUCACGCAACAUUGGCAGCGAAAAGAUCAAGAUAAUAUUGAUGAUGACAGUUAUUUGAUAUAAACUAUUCUUUGAAAUAUAUAAGAAGGAAAAAUAUUUCAGUUGACACAUGCAUACCCAUAAAAUCCUUCAGUUGAAUCAUCCCCAGCAUGUGCUAGAAUGGCAUCACCACCAGGGUGUUCUUCUACAUAUGAGGUAACAUCAUACACCUUUUCCUUGAUAAUGAUCCAACAGUUGGUUCUCUUGUUAUGCAGAGAUACUUCGGCUUUACUGUAAACUUUGGAUGCCUAAGAAAAAGAAAUAGUUUAUUGAAAACAUAAAGAGUACACAAGUUGGAUAAAUGCUAUUGGAAGAAAGUAAUAGAACCGAAUAACAUCUUCACUUUGUAGGUCCUUUGUCCAUCCCAUCAGUCUUUGAAACAUAAUAAAGUCAUGAUACCUAGUCACUUAUAGUAACAAAUCUACAGUAACAUAUCAGCAACCAAUUUGCAAGAAUGAAAAGUGCAUAGUCCUUAAUAUGUAUUAAAUGUGGUCAUCAAAAUAUGCAGUGUAGAUAAUCAUAAAUAAUUAACUUUAUAUGCAUCAACAUAAGCAGGCUAUGCCCUCUCUCUAUGUCCUCUUUCCAGCUUGCUCUCUCCGAUUCUCCUCUUGGUGAUAGAAAGAAAACAUAGAUUCUUUAUGGUCAAUGAGCAGCUAGUCUAUGAUUAAGAAGUCAGUUCCUCGAAAAUGUGCUCAGUGUGAAGAAAGAGAGCUUUGGGCAAAAAAAGUAUGGAUCAAGGCAUCAAGCUCUAAAAGCAUGCACGUAUCCAGAAUUUGGAAUGCAAAUUGUGAAUUAACAACAAUCCAAGAAGCAUCAACUUUGAACUAAAUAAAAAAGGACCACAUCACUUAUCCUUUAUGAGACUGAUGAUUACAUAAAUUCUAACAGUCGUAAAAUCUCUGGGAGUUCAGAGUACAAAAUAUUUCAGUCCAAAGUUUGUGUUCCAACUCAACUCAACUAAGC